Molecule: RNA transcript, 2548 nt
Organism: Chelonus insularis
Lineage: Eukaryota; Metazoa; Arthropoda; Insecta; Hymenoptera; Braconidae
Gene name: probable cytochrome P450 6a14
Exons: 5
Source: RefSeq, a predicted model, not a curated record
UUACAGAAUGAAAAAAUGUUUUUUUUAAAACCGUUCUGUUAAUUAAUAUUUUUUAUAUAUUCCAAUAAGUUAAAUACAUUAAAGUAUAUGUUAUCAAUUGUUCGUACUCCGAAAUUACUAUAAUUGUUUUCAAAAAUAAUAUUGUUAAUUAAAGUGUAUACAUUAUUUUAUGGAUCAUUUUAUCAAUAUAACCAGUUGAGCUGCGUUUUAUUUCAUGAAACGUGAUACAUCAUCUAGAUGUCACGACUAUCUUCAAUGACCUUCAGAUCUCUAAUGAUUUCUUUCUCUAUUUUUUUUUUAAUAAUAAUAACUUCCAAUAUUAGAGCAAUUAAACUGACAAGGUACACGUGUGUUCUGUAUCUCAGAAUUCUUCAGUUAUGCUCUAUCAUUAAAAAAUGAUGUAAUUCUAUUUCUAGUUUAGUAAUUUAUGGAAGCUAUGUGUGCGUGUACAUGUUGCAAAAAUCAACCAGUACUAGUCAGUCAAAGAUGAAACAUCGAGUGAAAUAGAUGAUAUUCUCAAUGACAGACAAAAUAUGUCAUAAUAAACAAUCAUAAAAGUCGAUUUAAAAAAUCACAACUAAUGUGACUAAAGUUUUUUAUACUAUAUGUGAUUGUGUAUUAAAGGUAAACUACCUCAAUAUUAGUGUCAACAUUAUUAUACCUUUUUCUUUAUCAAAAUGCUUUUGGGCACAUUUGAGCUUUUACUUGGAAUCUGCGGAUUGUUAUUAAUAAUUUACUCUUACUGGUCAUUAAAAUUUAAUUUCUGGAAAUCAAGAAAUGUUCCUGGACCAAAACCAAUAUUUUUCUUUGGUACAACAAAAGAUGUCAUCCUAAGAAAAGUUAGUUUAGGGCAUUAUGUUUCACGACUUUACAAAAAAUAUUCCAAUGAACCUAUGUUUGGAAUUUAUCUGAGAAACAGACCAAUUCUCAUCAUAAAUGAUCCAGAAUUGAUCAAAAAUGUUUUAAUAAAAGACUUCAAACACUUCAUGGAACGAGGUUUAACAUCCAAUGACAAAAUAGAACCGUUGAGUGCACAUUUAUUUUUGCUAGAAGCUAAGCGUUGGCGUCCAAUGAGAACGAAAUUAACACCAGUAUUCACUUCUGGAAAAUUAAAAGAAAUGUUCCAUCUCAUUGCAGAGGUUGCUGAAAGAUUUGACAAAUAUUUAAAUAAAUUUGAUGGCAAAACUGUUGAUAUGAGAGAUAUUUCUGCUAAAUUUACUACAGAUACUAUUGGAGUUUGUGCAUUUGGGCUUGAAGCUCAUGCUCUUGAUGACGAAGAUAGUAUUUUCCGGAAAAUGGGAAAAAGAGUCUUUACUACUAGUUGGAGAAGUUAUGUUCAAUUUACAUUAAUGGGUUCCAUGCCAAUUCUGUAUAAUCUAGUUGGUAGAUUGUUUAUAGAUCAUGUUCUCGAGAAAUUUUUUAUAAAUCUUACCAAAGAAACAAUUGAAUACAGAAAGGAGAAUAAUAUCAAGCGACAUGAUUUUAUAGAUUUACUAACUAAUAUGAAGGAUAAAAACGAUAAAAUAGAUGAUAUUGAAUUAACUGACUCAUUGUUGGCUGCACAAUUAUUUGUUUUUUUCGUUGCUGGUUUUGAAACUUCAUCAUCAACUAUGAGUAACUGUUUAUUCGAACUGGCAAUGAAUCCUGAGAUUCAAAAAAAAAUUAAGCUUGAGAUUACAGAGGAAUUGAAGAAAUCUGAUGGGAAAUUUACUUAUGAAAUGAUCCAAAAUAUGAAGUAUCUGGACAAAGUAUUUAAAGAAACAUUGAGGAAAUAUCCACCAGUUAUGUUCCUUUCUCGAAAAACUAUCGAUCCUUACACGAUUCCAGACACUAACAUAACAUUACCAAUUGGCACAGCAGUUUGGACACCAGUUUAUGGUAUUCAUCAUGAUCCUAAAUAUUAUCCUGAACCAGAAGUAUUUGAUCCUGAGAGAUUUACUGAUGAAGAAGUGGAAAAACGUCCUGCUAUGUCUUAUUUGCCUUUUGGAGAUGGCCCACGUAAUUGUAUUGGUCUUCGUUUUGGACAAUUGCAGACCAAAGUUGGCCUUGUAAAAAUUCUACAAAACCACACCGUCAAUGUCUGUGAAGAAACUGAUAAAACUUACAAUGCUGAUCUCAGAAAUAAUAUAUUAGCACCUAAAAAUGGAAUAAAGCUUCAAAUAAACAAACAAUAACUCGAUUUGUUACAUCACUGUCAUUACGAGCAUUAAAUUUAACAUUUUUAUGAAUCAUUUAUGAAUUGAUUGGAUCAGUUCUUGAAAAAUGAAAACAUUGCUUAUUUCUCUAUUUAUUAUAUAACUGCGAUGAUAUGAACUUUGGUCAGUCAAGGAUAAUAUACCAGAGUGAACACUCAGGAUAAAUAUUUUUUGACAGUCAUUUUUGAUUACUUAUCAAUUGUUGUUCACAAUUUUGGAGAUGAACAUUAUUGUGUAAAUGUAAUUUUUAUUAAUAAGAUAAAUUAAAGUGAUUGAAUUUUUUUUAUUGAAUAUAGAAUUUUUUUAUAUACUUGAAAUAUUUCAAAUUAUCCUGAAAUUUUGUUAACUUCAUC